GCUACACAUGCAGUCGAGGGGUAACAUUACUUUCGGGUAGAUGACGACCGGCGCACGGGUGAGUAACGCGUAUGCAACCUACCCUGUACUGAGGGAUAGCCCAUGGAAACGUGGAUUAAUACCUCAUGGUUCUUAUUUUCCGCAUGGUUAAUAAGAUAAAGUUUCGGCGGUACAGGAUGGGCAUGCGUGACAUUAGUUUGUUGGUAAGGUAACGGCUUACCAAGACUACGAUGUCUAGGGGGUCUGAGAGGAUUGUCCCCCACACUGGUACUGAGACACGGACCAGACUCCUACGGGAGGCAGCAGUGAGGAAUAUUGGUCAAUGGGCGCAAGCCUGAACCAGCCAUGCCGCGUGCAGGAUGACUGCCCUAUGGGUUGUAAACUGCUUUUGUAUGGGAAGAAAUGCAUCUACGUGUAGAUGUUUGCCGGUACCAUACGAAUAAGGAUCGGCUAACUCCGUGCCAGCAGCCGCGGUAAUACGGAGGAUUCGAGCGUUAUCCGGAUUUAUUGGGUUUAAAGAGUGCGUAGGCGGCUGAAUAAGUCAGUGGUGAAAGACUGUGGCUCAACCAUAGAAUUGCCAUUGAAACUGUUUAGCUUGAAUAUAGUUGAGGUAGGCGGAAUGUGUAGUGUAGCGGUGAAAUGCUUAGAUAUUACACAGAACACCGAUUGCGAAGGCAGCUUACUAAGCUAUUAUUGACGCUGAUGCACGAAAGCGUGGGUAGCGAACAGGAUUAGAUACCCUGGUAGUCCACGCCGUAAACGAUGAUCACUCGUUGUCUGCGAUACAUUGUAGUGACUAAGCGAAAGCGAUAAGUGAUCCACCUGGGGAGUACGAUCGCAGAUUGAAACUCAAGGAAUUGACGGGGCCGCACAGCGGAGAUCAUGUGUUUAAUUCGAUGAUACGCGAGGAUCUACUGGGCUAAUGUAGAUUGCAUGAGUAGAAUAGCUCUUUUCUUCGACUAUUUACAGUGUUGCAUGAUGUCGUCCGCUCGUGCGUG
Molecule: ribosomal RNA, 998 nt
Filed under: uncultured bacterium
Lineage: Bacteria
Description: bacterial SSU rRNA
Rfam family: Bacterial small subunit ribosomal RNA
Source: RNAcentral